Meleagris gallopavo (turkey) is the source of this 829-nucleotide long non-coding RNA. RefSeq lists it as uncharacterized. NCBI's taxonomy places the organism in Eukaryota, Metazoa, Chordata, Aves, Galliformes, Phasianidae. The record is from RefSeq and is a predicted model, not a curated record.
UUCAAGUUCCUUUCCUUUGUUUCAGUUGUCACUAAGAGGGAGUCUUAGGGAAGUAAUUUGAAGUAAAAUCUUGGUGAGCUCUGCUGUCUCUCUGACUUUAGAAAGCGAGAACAGUUUUUGCCAUCCCUCUUAUCCCCUUAUUGAGGCAUGAGGCUGAAGAGCUGUCCCAAAUAAUCUUCCACUGGAAUAUGUGCAAUACCUCAAAAAUACUUUUUCCCCAGCAGCUAUGUUAUACACCCUGUUGGCAAGGAAAACAUGAAGCUGAGUAACAAAUCCAAUUCUUUCCUGUGUUCAGAAGUGACCUAAAUGAGGCAGAACUUCACUAACGGCUAUGAGAGUUUGGAGCAGAUGAAACUUUCCCUGACAGCAAGCAGAGAGUGCUGUUAUAUCUCUUGUGAAAUACUCACAGUAAAGCAAUCUAUUUCUCUUAUGUUCAUAUAGGUGAUCCAGUUGAAAUCCAGUUGGACAGAUCUGUGGAUCUCUAGGAUGACUUGGAGGCUACAAAUGCAAGGAAACAAAAAACAACUUUUUAUCUUCAACAUCUGGAGGAUGCUGUCAGGACAAAACAGUUUAUUUAUACUUUUCUUUCAGAAAAAAAUAUGUAUUCACUGUUCAUUUCAUUGUCAUUUUUCAAAGCAUUACAACUCAUUGCAUGAGUGUAAAUCAUGAUGAUUUAUAUUCUCCUGAUAUUUUCCAUGCAGUAGUUAUCCCAGUAAGUGCUAAGUGAUACUAUUCUUAUAUAUACUGUAAAGUAUUUUUGCUCAAGGACUUAAAUGGUCUAAGAGAGCAAAGGUCAUCAAUACAUCUUAAAAAAAAAAAAAGAAAAAAA